AACCCGUGCCCCACUAGUCUGGGAUACCACUUGGAAACAGGUGCUAAUACCGGAUAAGAAAGCGGAUCGCAUGAUCAGCUUUUAAAAGGCGGCGUAAGCUGUCGCUAUGGGAUGGCCCCGCGGUGCAUUAGCUAGUUGGUAAGGUAAAGGCUUACCAAGGCGAUGAUGCAUAGCCGAGUUGAGAGACUGAUCGGCCACAUUGGGACUGAGACACGGCCCAAACUCCUACGGGAGGCAGCAGAC
RNAcentral lists this ribosomal RNA (243 nucleotides) under uncultured Lactobacillus sp. RNAcentral describes it as "partial 16S ribosomal RNA". It matches the Rfam family "Bacterial small subunit ribosomal RNA", at positions 123 to 354 of the family's 1533-position model. Lineage: Bacteria; Bacillati; Bacillota; Bacilli; Lactobacillales; Lactobacillaceae. The record is from RNAcentral.